Molecule: small RNA, 30 nt
Filed under: Bombyx mori (domestic silkworm)
Lineage: Eukaryota; Metazoa; Arthropoda; Insecta; Lepidoptera; Bombycidae
Description: ovarian small RNA-28662
Source: RNAcentral
UCGCCACGCAUAGUCGGCGGUGAGCGCCUC